Molecule: ribosomal RNA, 305 nt
Filed under: uncultured bacterium
Lineage: Bacteria
Description: bacterial SSU rRNA
Rfam family: Bacterial small subunit ribosomal RNA
Source: RNAcentral
UGUGCCUACGGGAGGCAGCAGUGAGGAAUAUUGGUCAAUGGGCGAGAGCCUGAACCAGCCAAGUCGCGUGAGGGAGUACUGCCCUAUGGGUUGUAAACUUCUUUUAUAAAGGAAUAAAGUGAGGCACGUGUGCCUUUUUGUAUGUACUUUAUGAAUAAGGAUCGGCUAACUCCGUGCCAGCAGCCGCGGUAAUACGGAGGAUCCGAGCGUUAUCCGGACUUAUUGGGUUUAAAGGGAGCGUAGAUGGGUUGUUAAGUCAGUUGUGAAAGUUUGCGGCUCAACCGUAAAAUUGCAAUUGAUACUGG